UUUCCGUAGGUGAACCUGCGGAAGGAUCAUUAAAAAUGAAGCCGGGAAACCGGUCCUUCUCACCCUUGAUAAUCUCAAUUUGUUGCUUUGGUGGGCCGCGCAAGCACCGGCUUCGGCUGGAUCGUGCCCGCCAGAGGACCACAACUCUGUAUUAUAUGUCGUCUGAGUACUAUAAAAUAGUUAAAACUUUCAACAACGGAUCUCUUGGUUCUG
RNAcentral lists this unclassified non-coding RNA (213 nucleotides) under plant metagenome. Its description in RNAcentral is "partial contains small subunit ribosomal RNA, internal transcribed spacer 1, and 5.8S ribosomal RNA". The record is from RNAcentral.